UGAUAGAGGCGCGGAAAGCAAGAGUACCCCAAUCCGAAACAGGCAUGUGGAUGGGCGAAAGGGCUGGCCGCCGAGGGGUCAGAGGGAUGCCUGUCCUGUCUGAUGCCCGGGCCGCCGGAGAACAUCCGUCGGACUGUCGUCUGCAUUGCGGACGGAGAGCUGUCAG
Molecule: non-coding RNA, 166 nt
Filed under: pig gut metagenome
Description: Lysine riboswitch
Rfam family: Lysine riboswitch aptamer
About the family: Riboswitches are metabolite binding domains within certain messenger RNAs that serve as precision sensors for their corresponding targets. Allosteric rearrangement of mRNA structure is mediated by ligand binding, and this results in modulation of gene expression.
Source: RNAcentral